GAAAUUCCUCGUUAAGGCUGGAAGCUGAACGCAAGGAUCUUUUUAAAAUACAGUCAUCUCUGGUUAAUGAUCAGAUCAGAGGAGCAGCAGCACUCUAGGCUCCACAUUCCUUUUAUUUAUACAAUGCUCUGAUUUACAGAAACUGCUUUAUAGAAAAUUUUGACACAGCCUCUCCCUGGAGAUGAGGAUAAUUUAAGAUUCUGCAUCUGAAGCUAAUUAAACAUAAGAAACAGCAGGUAAUCUGUAUUCAAAUACACACACAUGCAUUGAAAUCUCUGCUUGUCUAUCUUGCAUCUUUGGAAACUGCCUAUUUCAAGCUGAGCUUUUCCUGAACAGGAGUGGAAAGCAGAAUGGAUACGUAUACAGGACGUUGGCACAUUUCUGUAGCAAUACUAGCAUUGAAGCAAACUAAUUUUCAAUAAACUUGAUCACUUUAAACAGGUCAACGACUGUUGAUAUCUUCAUCACUCAUAGCAAUGUUCUGAGUUGCAGCAUUUAUCCAGCCUCACCAUUACGAGGCUCUGCAGUCACCAGAUAAACAAAAUAAAAAUGGUAACCUUCACUUAUUUCUGCAGUGUUCCGUGAAAAUCUUG
Long non-coding RNA from Gallus gallus (chicken), 593 nucleotides. Lineage: Eukaryota; Metazoa; Chordata; Aves; Galliformes; Phasianidae. The record is from Ensembl.